Non-coding RNA from Myodes glareolus (Bank vole), 763 nucleotides. NCBI's taxonomy places the organism in Eukaryota, Metazoa, Chordata, Mammalia, Rodentia, Cricetidae. The record is from RefSeq and is a predicted model, not a curated record.
ACUGCAGCGCUGUGCCCCAGAAACAGGGUGGUGUAUGGCAGAAUGGAGGGAAGUGACUCGCGGCAAAGAACUCAGAAUCAGAGGAUGAGGGGGACAGAAGGGGAUGGCAAGAGCCUCUCAGAGCAACCGCGCAGUCCCAGAAGUUGAUACCACGAUCUCGAGCCUUUGUAGACAAGUGACCCUCAUCUUCAUGCAAUGCAUAUCUGAGAAAUGGCUGCACUCUACUACGGAGAUCUUCAACUACCUCACCACUGCUCAGCAGACCACUAAGAGUGGUGUGCAGCCGGGAGUGUCUCCCUCUGUCCCCCUUCCAUAACUACAGGGGUCCCUCUCAUAUCUGAGACAGUAUGUGCAGUGGAAACAAGCCUGAUGCUCAAACGUUGACCCUGCCUGUGGACUCUCACCAACCUACAACCUCACGUUAUUAUCUUAAGCUUUCCACAUAUGGAUCAAUUCAUCUAUAGAAUAUGGAAGAAACUUCAUCUCAUCAUCUCUUCGAAAGAUGCUUAUGAGACUCGGUUCCCGCCCACUCCGCGUUUGAAGGGGAAAUUUGGAAUUCAGAAAAAUGCCACAGCAAGAUAUGACUCUGCUAUGGUUCCCCAACUCAUGUACGCCAAACAGGAAUGGAAACACGAAACUGCAGGUGUCAACACCGAGUCUUUCCUUUCGUUUCUCUGUGUACAACAUACUGCUUUCGGUACUAGCUUUGUGUCCCCAGGUCCUACAUUAAUCUUCGGAUUAAAAAGUGUCCAGGAUAUUAUAA